GGGCUCGUAGUGUAGUGGUUAUCACGCCUCCCUGUCACGGAGGAGAUCGCCGGUUCAAGUCCGGUCGGGCCCGCCA
This 76-nucleotide transfer RNA is filed under the name Candidatus Saccharimonadota bacterium. Its description in RNAcentral is "tRNA-Asp". It matches the Rfam family "tRNA". From Rfam's summary of the family: Transfer RNA (tRNA) molecules are approximately 80 nucleotides in length. Their secondary structure includes four short double-helical elements and three loops (D, anti-codon, and T loops). Lineage: Bacteria; Candidatus Saccharimonadota. The record is from RNAcentral.